CGCUAGCUACAGGCUUAACACAUGCAAGUCGAGGGGCAGCAUGGUCUUAGCUCGCUAAGGCCGAUGGCGACCGGCGCACGGGUGAGUAACACGUAUCCAACCUGCCGUCUACUCUUGGACAGCCUUCUGAAAGGAAGAUUAAUACAAGAUGGCAUCAUGAGUCCGCAUGUUCACAUGAUUAAAGGUAUUCCGGUAGACGAUGGGGAUGCGUUCCAUUAGAUAGUAGGCGGGGUAACGGCCCACCUAGUCUUCGAUGGAUAGGGGUUCUGAGAGGAAGGUCCCCCACAUUGGAACUGAGACACGGCCCAAACUCCUACGGGAGGCAGCAGUGAGGAAUAUUGGUCAAUGGGCGAGAGCCUGAACCAGCCAAGUAGCGUGAAGGAUGACUGCCCUAUGGGUUGUAAACUUCUUUUAUAAAGGAAUAAAGUCGGGUAUGCAUACCCGUUUGCAUGUACUUUAUGAAUAAGGAUCGGCUAACUCCGUGCCAGCAGCCGCGGUAAUACGGAGGAUCCGAGCGUUAUCCGGAUUUAUUGGGUUUAAAGGGAGCGUAGAUGGAUGUUUAAGUCAGUUGUGAAAGUUUGCGGCUCAACCGUAAAAUUGCAGUUGAUACUGGAUAUCUUGAGUGCAGUUGAGGCAGGCGGAAUUCGUGGUGUAGCGGUGAAAUGCUUAGAUAUCACGAAGAACUCCGAUUGCGAAGGCAGCCUGCUAAGCUGCAACUGACAUUGAGGCUCGAAAGUGUGGGUAUCAAACAGGAUUAGAUACCCUGGUAGUCCACACGGUAAACGAUGAAUACUCGCUGUUUGCGAUAUACAGCAAGCGGCCAAGCGAAAGCGUUAAGUAUUCCACCUGGGGAGUACGCCGGCAACGGUGAAACUCAAAGGAAUUGACGGGGGCCCGCACAAGCGGAGGAACAUGUGGUUUAAUUCGAUGAUACGCGAGGAACCUUACCCGGGCUUAAAUUGCAGAUGAAUUACGGUGAAAGCCGUAAGCCGCAAGGCAUCUGUGAAGGUGCUGCAUGGUUGUCGUCAGCUCGUGCCGUGAGGUGUCGGCUUAAGUGCCAUAACGAGCGCAACCCUUGUUGUCAGUUACUAACAGGUUCUGCUGAGGACUCUGACAAGACUGCCAUCGUAAGAUGUGAGGAAGGUGGGGAUGACGUCAAAUCAGCACGGCCCUUACGUCCGGGGCUACACACGUGUUACAAUGGGGGGUACAGAGGGCCGCUACCACGCGAGUGGAUGCCAAUCCCCAAAACCUCUCUCAGUUCGGACUGGAGUCUGCAACCCGACUCCACGAAGCUGGAUUCGCUAGUAAUCGCGCAUCAGCCACGGCGCGGUGAAUACGUUCCCGGGCCUUGUACACACCGCCCGUCAAGCCAUGGGAGCCGGGGGUACCUGAAGUGCGUAACCGCGAGGAGCGCCCUAGGGUAAAACUGGUGA
This 1436-nucleotide ribosomal RNA is filed under the name uncultured organism. Its description in RNAcentral is "16S ribosomal RNA". It matches the Rfam family "Bacterial small subunit ribosomal RNA". The record is from RNAcentral.